GGAAUAUUGGUCAAUGGAGGGAACUCUGAACCAGCCAUGCCGCGUGCAGGAUGACUGCCCUAUGGGUUGUAAACUGCUUUUGUCAGGGAAUAAACCUUUCCACGUGUGGGAAGCUGAAUGUACCUGAAGAAUAAGGAUCGGCUAACUCCGUGCCAGCAGCCGCGGUAAUACGGAGGAUCCAAGCGUUAUCCGGAUUUAUUGGGUUUAAAGGGUGCGUAGGCGGUCCUAUAAGUCAGUGGUGAAAGACGGCAGCUUAACUGUCGCAGUGCCUUUGAUACUGUAGGACUUGAAUCUAUUUGAAGUGGGCGGAAUAAGACAAGUAGCGGUGAAAUGCAUAGAUAUGUCUUAGAACUCCGAUUGCGAAGGCAGCUCACUAAGUUAGUAUUGACGCUGAUGCACGAAAGCUAGGGGAGCGAAUGGGAUUAGAUACCCCUG
RNAcentral lists this ribosomal RNA (435 nucleotides) under uncultured Sphingobacterium sp. RNAcentral's name for it is "bacterial SSU rRNA". It matches the Rfam family "Bacterial small subunit ribosomal RNA", at positions 358 to 790 of the family's 1533-position model. The record is from RNAcentral. Lineage: Bacteria; Pseudomonadati; Bacteroidota; Sphingobacteriia; Sphingobacteriales; Sphingobacteriaceae.